This is a small nuclear RNA of Molossus molossus (Pallas's mastiff bat), 106 nucleotides long. NCBI's taxonomy places the organism in Eukaryota, Metazoa, Chordata, Mammalia, Chiroptera, Molossidae. The record is from RefSeq and is a predicted model, not a curated record.
GUGCUCACGUCUGUAGCACACAUACUAAAAUUGGAAUGAUAAAAAGAGAUUAACAUGGCUCCUACACAAGGAUGACACGCAAAUUAGUGAAGCAUUCCAAUUUUUU